RNAcentral lists this ribosomal RNA (468 nucleotides) under uncultured bacterium. Its description in RNAcentral is "partial 16S ribosomal RNA". It matches the Rfam family "Bacterial small subunit ribosomal RNA", at positions 28 to 507 of the family's 1533-position model. The record is from RNAcentral.
GACGAACGCUGGCGGCGUGCUUAACACAUGCAAGUCGAACGGAAAGGCCCUGCUUUUGUGGGGUGCUCGAGUGGCGAACGGGUGCGUAACACGUGAGUAACCUGCCCUUGACUUUGGUAUAACUUCAGGAAACUGGGGCUAAUACCGGAUAGGAGCUCCUGCUGCAUGGUGGGGGUUGGAAAUUUUCGGCGGUUGGGGAUGGACUCGCGGCUUAUCAGCUUGUUGGUGGGGUAGUGGCUUACCAAGGCUUUGACGGGUAGCCGGCAUGAGAGGGUGACCGGCCACAUUGGGACUGAGAUACGGCCCAGACUCCUACGGGAGGCAGCAGUGGGGAAUAUUGCACAAUGGGCGGAAGCCUGAUGCAGAAACGCCGCGUGCGGGAUGACGGCCUUCGGGUUGUAAACCGCUUUAGCCUGUGACGAAGCGUGAGUGACGGUAAUGGGUAAAGAAGCACCGGCUAACUACGUG